GCAGCCGCCGCGGUAAUACGAAGGGUGCAAGCGUUAAUCGGAAUUACUGGGCGUAAAGCGUGCGUAGGCGGUUUGUUAAGUCUGCUGUGAAAUCCCCGGGCUCAACCUGGGAAUGGCAGUGGAUACUGGCAAGCUAGAGUGUGUCAGAGGAUGGUGGAAUUCCCGGUGUAGCGGUGAAAUGCGUAGAGAUCGGGAGGAACAUCAGUGGCGAAGGCGGCCAUCUGGGACAACACUGACGCUGAGGCACGAAAGCGUGGGGAGCAAACAGGAUUAGAGACCCGAGUAGUCCCUGUCUCUUAUAA
RNAcentral lists this ribosomal RNA (302 nucleotides) under uncultured bacterium. RNAcentral describes it as "partial 16S ribosomal RNA". It matches the Rfam family "Bacterial small subunit ribosomal RNA", at positions 508 to 809 of the family's 1533-position model. The record is from RNAcentral.